RNAcentral lists this long non-coding RNA (533 nucleotides) under Homo sapiens (human). RNAcentral describes it as "HSALNT0229390". Lineage: Eukaryota; Metazoa; Chordata; Mammalia; Primates; Hominidae. The record is from RNAcentral.
GAAACCCCAUCUGUACUAAAAAUACAAAAAUUAGCCAGAUGUGGUGGGACAUGCCUGUAAUUCCAGCUACUUGGGAGGCUGAGGCAGGAGAAUCACUUGAACUCGGGUGAAACCCUGUCUCUACUAAAAAUACAAAAAUUAGCCUGGCGUGGUGGGACAUGCCUGUAAUCCCAGCUACCUGGGAGGCUGAGGCAGGAGAAUCACUUAAACCCAGGAAGCGGAGGUUGCAGUGAGCUGAGAUCACUCCAUUGCACACCAAUGGUGGCCAGUUUUUGAAAUCUAGGAUGAUGGGGAGCCAGAUCGGGAUCCUGUGCCAUGCAUUUGAAGCCUCCCCAUAGAGACCGUCGAAAAUUGCCAAUGCUGAUUAUAUUUCAAGUCAUCAUGGAGUCAUUGGCUAUGAUACUGCCACUGCACAAAGCUGGCCCCAUCUCAAAAACAAGUUAUAUGUGGAUUUGUGGCUGCAUGGAGGAGGGCUGACACCCCUAACCCCUGCAUUGUUCAAGGGUCAACUAUAAUAUAAACAUAACUUCACU